GUGGGGAAUAUUGCGCAAUGGGGGAAACCCUGACGCAGCAACGCCGCGUGAAGGAUGAAGGUUUUCGGAUUGUAAACUUCUUUUGUCGAGGACGAAACAAAUGACGGUACUUGACGAAUAAGCCACGGCUAACUACGUGCCAGCAGCCGCGGUAAUACGUAGGUGGCAAGCGUUAUCCGGAUUUACUGGGUGUAAAGGGCGUGUAGGCGGGAAAGCAAGUCAGAUGUGAAAACUAUGGGCUCAACCCAUAGCCUGCAUUUGAAACUGUUUUUCUUGAGUACUGGAAAGGCAGAUGGAAUUCCUAGUGUAGCGGUGAAAUGCGUAGAUAUUAGGAGGAACACCAGUGGCGAAGGCGAUCUGCUGGACAGCAACUGACGCUGAGGCGCGAAAGCGUGGGGAGCAAACAGGAUUAGAAACCCUUGUAGUCC
RNAcentral lists this ribosomal RNA (428 nucleotides) under uncultured bacterium. RNAcentral describes it as "partial 16S ribosomal RNA". It matches the Rfam family "Bacterial small subunit ribosomal RNA", at positions 354 to 796 of the family's 1533-position model. The record is from RNAcentral.